CGGAGUAGGCGCGUGCCCCACUGUGUGUAGUCCGCCGCGACCGCGUGGUCCUCACCUAAUGUGACGUCGAGCGAGGGCGCGCCGGGCGAUCCCGACGGUCCUUUAAUGUGUUGACAGGUGUCGGGAGGCUUCUUGCGUGCCAUGCUCAAGCGGAUUUCGUUGCCUGGCGACUGACUUGAUGGUAAGUCGUCGAGUGUGCAGUCACACGCACGACGCCAGGCCAUGUCUAUCAUGGUACCCGAGGAGCUCCGGCGGACCUCAGCAAGUGGUCAGCCCGGGGGGAAACCCGAGACAGUCCCUGAUGCGCCAACGCACACUCGCUCUGGGGUGAGCCACCAGCUGCGUCCUUCGAUACCCAGGCCAGAGCCCUCGCGAGCCGGGGCUGAAGCGCGGGCUACACCCGACGGGCAGCACUCGGAGCCACGUCGCCUGGAUGGUGACGGCAGCGACAGCACACCCACCUGGCGGGCGGGGGCGGCCGACCACCAGCCGACAUCGGAGGCGGACGCGUCGAGCUGCGCCACGUGCCGCGUGUGUGAGCGGACAUUCCAGAGCCGCUACUUCGUCCUGGUGCACAUGCGACACCACCGCGCGAAACCGGCGCGCGCUGCGAGAGGAGACGGAUUCAGCCGUCGGUGGAUGCCCGGCCGUUCAUGAGGCGCUCGUGGCGUGCGAGAGCACCGCACUGUGCCGCGAAAAUCGCCCGACCAUUGAUCAUAGUGUUAUGAUUAGAUUCAACUGCGUUUGAACGAUGGAUCGGCGGAAGAAGAACUAUUGAGGGAGGCGUCUGUGGUCUUCACACGGUUCAGAGUUUCGUCAUCCUCAAUCGCACGACUCGGAAACCGUCUAUUUGGUCCAGGCUAGUGUUGCCAAGUUUACUUCGAGGCCAAUUGACGCAUUAGCAUAUGCUGAGAGGCGAUAAACAGGCGUGGGUCGCUGGAGCCAUAACAUAGCUGUCUUGUUUCCGCGAGGUUGCUGCCUUUAUGAAUGACAUUGAUGUCGAGCGUUGCAUUUCCGUUACAUUGUGGAAUGAUCCGUGCUGUAUGUGUUUAUCUUCGAUAAAUGUGCUUUCGUAAAUGUAUCUUCGAUAAAUGCCAUCGACUUCC
Long non-coding RNA from Pollicipes pollicipes, 1106 nucleotides. RefSeq lists it as uncharacterized. NCBI's taxonomy places the organism in Eukaryota, Metazoa, Arthropoda, Thecostraca, Pollicipedomorpha, Pollicipedidae. The record is from RefSeq and is a predicted model, not a curated record. The transcript is spliced from 2 exons.